AAAAAAGGUAAGCUACUAAGAGCGAAUGGUGGAUGCCUUGACUGGUAAAGGCGAUGAAGGACGUACUAGACUGCGAUAAGCUACGGGGAGCUGUCAAGAAGCUUUGAUCCGUAGAUUUCCGAAUGGGGCAACCCAAUGUAUAGAGAUAUACAUUACCUAUAUAGGAGCGAACGAGGGGAAUUGAAACAUCUUAGUACCCUCAGGAAAAGAAAUCAAUAGAGAUUGCGUCAGUAGCGGCGAGCGAAAGCGCAAGAGGGCAAACCCAGUGCUUGCACUGGGGGUUGUAGGACUGCAAUGUGCAAGAGGUAAGUUUAGCAGAACAUUCUGGAAAGUAUAGCCAUAGAGGGUGAUAGUCCCGUAUGCGAAAAACAAACCUUAGCUAGCAGUAUCCUGAGUAGGGCGGGACACGAGAAAUCCUGUCUGAAGCUGGGUCGACCACGAUCCAACCCUAAAUACUAAUACCAGAUCGAUAGUGCACAAGUACCGUGAGGGAAAGGUGAAAAGAACUGAGGUGAUCAGAGUGAAAUAGAACCUGAAACCAUUUGCUUACAAUCAUUCAGAGCCCUAUGUAGCAAUACAGGGUGAUGGACUGCCUUUUGCAUAAUGAGCCUGCGAGUUGUGGUGUCUGGCAAGGUUAAGCAAACGCGAAGCCGUAGCGAAAGCGAGUCUGAAUAGGGCGCUUAGUCAGAUGCUGCAGACCCGAAACGAAGUGAUCUAUCCAUGAGCAAGUUGAAGCUAGUGUAAGAACUAGUGGAGGACUGAACCCAUAGGCGUUGAAAAGCCCCGGGAUGACUUGUGGAUAGGGGUGAAAGGCCAAUCAAACUUCGUGAUAGCUGGUUCUCUCCGAAAUAUAUUUAGGUAUAGCGUUGUGUCGUAAUAUAAGGGGGUAGAGCACUGAAUGGGCUAGGGCAUACACCAAUGUACCAAACCCUAUCAAACUCCGAAUACCUUAUAUGUAAUCACAGCAGUCAGGCGGCGAGUGAUAAAAUCCGUCGUCAAGAGGGAAACAACCCAGACUACCAGCUAAGGUCCCUAAAUCUUACUUAAGUGGAAAACGAUGUGAAGUUACUUAAACAACCAGGAGGUUGGCUUAGAAGCAGCCAUCCUUUAAAGAAAGCGUAAUAGCUCACUGGUCUAGUGAUUUUGCGCGGAAAAUAUAACGGGGCUAAAGUAAGUACCGAAGCUGUAGACUUGCGCACAACUUAGAUUAUUUAAGUUUAGAAUAUGAGAAACUAAGUUAUAUGUUUAGUUAUAUUUUUACUGAUUUUUAUAGAGUAAAGAUAGAAAUAAAACUUAGUAAAAUCAGUAAAAAUAUUCUUAGACUAAAGUUAAGUAGUUUAAGUUGUGUGCAAGUGGUAGGAGAGCGUUCUAUUUGCGUCGAAGGUAUACCGGUAAGGAGUGCUGGAGCGAAUAGAAGUGAGCAUGCAGGCAUGAGUAGCGAUAAUUAAUGUGAGAAUCAUUAACGCCGUAAACCCAAGGUUUCCUACGCGAUGCUCGUCAUCGUAGGGUUAGUCGGGUCCUAAGUCGAGUCCGAAAGGGGUAGACGAUGGCAAAUUGGUUAAUAUUCCAAUACCAACAUUAGUGUGCGAUGGAAGGACGCUUAGGGCUAAGGGGGCUAGCGGAUGGAAGUGCUAGUCUAAGGUCGUAGGAGGUUAUACAGGCAAAUCCGUAUAACAAUACUCCGAGAACUGAAAGGCUUUUUGAAGUCUUCGGAUG
This 1716-nucleotide ribosomal RNA is filed under the name Campylobacter coli. RNAcentral describes it as "partial 23S ribosomal RNA". It matches the Rfam family "Bacterial large subunit ribosomal RNA", at positions 1 to 1599 of the family's 2925-position model. The record is from RNAcentral. Lineage: Bacteria; Pseudomonadati; Campylobacterota; Epsilonproteobacteria; Campylobacterales; Campylobacteraceae.